Long non-coding RNA from Cygnus olor (mute swan), 1039 nucleotides. RefSeq lists it as uncharacterized. The record is from RefSeq and is a predicted model, not a curated record. Lineage: Eukaryota; Metazoa; Chordata; Aves; Anseriformes; Anatidae. The transcript has 2 exons.
GAGUUUGAAUGUGGUCUCAAUAAAUCUGGAAGAAAACCAAGGUCUGGAGGAGAAAAAAAUUGUCCUUCUGGAGCAUUAUAAUACUGACAUGGAAGAUUCCUUCUAUGGGGCGACAGAAUGGAAGCUGAAGGACAUAUGCCAGACCCCAGUAUUAAGAAGUUGUUGACUUUUUGAAACAAACAGCUUUCUUCUAGCUCUUUUGGGCCAACAUAUAAGGAUUGCAAAGCUGUAAUUAGGACAUGACUUCAAAUUUCACCUCAAUUACUGUUUGGUGACAUUUCUUUCUCUCUUGUAUAUUUACAGAAAUUAUAAAGCCUUAGUUCAACAAAAAUCUUUUGUUCCCUUCCACACAUACCCCAGCUAAGGGAGGGUCAUGCUUGUCAUUUUUACUUCAUGCUUUAAACUCAGAGGUUAAAAUAUGAUGUUUAAAUGGUGACAGAGAAGUCUCAAUGAAGAAAUUGGGGUCUUUGACCUCAAUCUCUGCUGUUUCGGGCAGCGGGGGUUGGGGAUCAUUCUGUGUUUGCUAGCUGAACCACAGUAACCUGUACCUGACAAUUUAACCUAUUGGGUUUUGAGCAUUUUCAGAUCAGAUCAAAAGCAUCAAAGUCUGUGUAAAUAAUGCAUUGCAGUAAAUUGUCUCUCAUUUAAAACUAACACCAGAAAAACAACUACUUAAUUAGAAAAAAAAUAUACUGUUAGCAGUGAUGUUUAACAUAUAUUUUAAUCAUUUCAUCUCCCACCUCCCAGAUAAGUCUCCCUGUAUUUCCAUAUUAGAUUUGGGUUUAGCUUGUGUGUGGUCAUAUGAGACUGGGCAGGGCACUGACUGAUAUCAGAGGACUACACAUGCAUAAGACAAGAUGAAAUGAGAAACUGAUUACAUGAAAGUCAAGUGUAAAGUAACAAUAAAGAUUGUCUGGAAAACUAUUUAAAAUACCAUUAAAGCAUGGAAAGGUUUGGGCUUUUUUAAUACUAUUGUUCAGCAAAAAUUCUUUUCUGAAGUGUAAAUUGUGGAAACAUUGAAAUAAAUGUAUAACUAAGA